This 797-nucleotide ribosomal RNA is filed under the name Bacillus sp. Bt 49. RNAcentral's name for it is "bacterial SSU rRNA". It matches the Rfam family "Bacterial small subunit ribosomal RNA", at positions 60 to 834 of the family's 1533-position model. The record is from RNAcentral. Lineage: Bacteria; Bacillati; Bacillota; Bacilli; Caryophanales; Bacillaceae.
AGUCGAGCGAAUGGAUUAAGAGCUUGCUCUUAUGAAGUUAGCGGCGGACGGGUGAGUAACACGUGGGUAACCUGCCCAUAAGACUGGGAUAACUCCGGGAAACCGGGGCUAAUACCGGAUAACAUUUUGAACUGCAUGGUUCCGGAAAUUGAAAGGCGGCUUCGGCUGUCACUUAUGGAUGGACCCGCGUCGCAUUAGCUAGUUGGUGAGGUAACGGCUCACCAAGGCAACGAUGCGUAGCGACCUGAGAGGGUGAUCGGCCACACUGGGACUGAGACACGGCCCAGACUCCUACGGGAGGCAGCAGUAGGGAAUCUUCCGCAAUGGACGAAAGUCUGACGGAGCAACGCCGCGUGAGUGAUGAAGGCUUUCGGGUCGUAAAACUCUGUUGUUAGGGAAGAACAAGUGCUAGUUGAAUAAGCUGGCACCUUGACGGUACCUAACCAGAAAGCCACGGCUAACUACGUGCCAGCAGCCGCGGUAAUACGUAGGUGGCAAGCGUUAUCCGGAAUUAUUGGGCGUAAAGCGCGCGCAGGUGGUUUCUUAAGUCUGAUGUGAAAGCCCACGGCUCAACCGUGGAGGGGUCAUUUGGAAACUGGGGAGACUUGAGUGCAGAAGAGGAAAGUGGAAUUCCAUGUGUAGCGGUGAAAUGCGUAGAGAUAUGGAGGAACACCAGUGGCGAAGGCGACUUUCUGGUCUGUAACUGACACUGAGGCGCGAAAGUGGGGGAGCAAACAGGAUUAGAUACCCUGGUAGUCCACGCCGUAAACGAUGAGUGCUAAGUGUUAGAGGGUUUU